This 253-nucleotide ribosomal RNA is filed under the name uncultured bacterium. Its description in RNAcentral is "partial 16S ribosomal RNA". It matches the Rfam family "Bacterial small subunit ribosomal RNA", at positions 524 to 776 of the family's 1533-position model. The record is from RNAcentral.
UACGUAGGGUGCAAGCGUUGUCCGGAAUUAUUGGGCGUAAAGAGCUCGUAGGCGGUCUGUCGCGUCUGCUGUGAAAACUCGGGGCUUAACCCCGGGCCUGCAGUGGGUACGGGCAGACUAGAGUGCGGUAGGGGAGACUGAAAUUCCUGGUGUAGCGGUGAAAUGCGCAGAUAUCAGGAGGAACACCGGUGGCGAAGGCGGGUCUCUGGGCCGUAACUGACGCUGAGGAGCGAAAGCCAGGGGAGCAAACGGG